AAAGUCGUAACAAGGUUUCCGUAGGUGAACCUGCGGAAGGAUCAUUAACAAAUUCUAAACAACUGUGUUUCUUUAACUGUUUCGUCCGUUGGUAGUCUCUCUCAAAAGGGGGGCCUAUUGGUUGAUAGCGAUGGUUAAAGAAGUCACUAACAUAUACACUUUGAUUGACAACACCUAGUGAUCUAGAUAUUAAUUGUAUACAACUUUUAACAAUGGAUCUCUUGGCUCUU
RNAcentral lists this unclassified non-coding RNA (230 nucleotides) under Basidiomycota sp. RNAcentral's name for it is "partial contains small subunit ribosomal RNA, internal transcribed spacer 1, and 5.8S ribosomal RNA". The stretch from base 1 to 47 matches the Rfam family "Eukaryotic small subunit ribosomal RNA", at positions 1785 to 1831 of the family's 1831-position model. The record is from RNAcentral. Lineage: Eukaryota; Fungi; Basidiomycota.